RNAcentral lists this ribosomal RNA (305 nucleotides) under uncultured bacterium. Its description in RNAcentral is "bacterial SSU rRNA". It matches the Rfam family "Bacterial small subunit ribosomal RNA", at positions 338 to 660 of the family's 1533-position model. The record is from RNAcentral.
CCUACGGGAGGCAGCAGUGGGGGAUAUUGCACAAUGGGGGAAACCCUGAUGCAGCAACGCCGCGUGAGUGAAGAAGUAUUUCGGUAUGUAAAGCUCUAUCAGCAGGGAAGAGAAUGACGGUACCUGACUAAGAAGCCCCGGCUAACUACGUGCCAGCAGCCGCGGUAAUACGUAGGGGGCGAGCGUUAUCCGGAUUUACUGGGUGUAAAGGGAGCGUAGACGGCUGGUCAAGUCUGAAGUGAAAGCCCGGGGCUUAACCCCGGAACGGCUUUGGAAACUGAGCAGCUAGAGUGCUGGAGAGGUAA